AGAGAGGACAUGCGCGCAUAUCAAUAAGCGGAGGAAAAGAAACUAACAAGGAUUCCCUUAGUAACGGCGAGUGAAGCGGGAAGAGCUCAAAUUUGAAAUCUUCAAGGUUUUACCUUGACGAAUUGUAGUUUAAAGAAGUGUUUUCUGCUGAAGUUUUGGUAAAAGUUCUUUGGAAUAGGACAUCAUAGAGGGUGAGAAUCCCGUAUUUGACCAUUAUUUUCAGCUUUGUGAUACACUUUCAAAGAGUCGGAUUGUUUGGGAAUGCAGUCCAAAAUGGGUGGUAAAUUUCAUCUAAAGCUAAAUAUUGGCGAGAGACCGAUAGCGAACAAGUACCGUGAGGGAAAGAUGAAAAGAACUUUGAAAAGAGAGUUAAACAGUACGUGAAAUUGUCAAAAGGGAAGCGUUUGACACCAGUGUUGUUUUCUCGAAAAUCAAUUAAAAAAGGCAGGAUUUUGUGUUGUAUUGACUUUAUCAGCUUUCUGCACUCUUUUCUUGUCUUUUUUUAAUGCACUUUUCGUUUAACAAGUCAACAUCAAUUUCUUUUGUUGUAAAAGGGUCAUUGGAAGGUGGCUUUCUUUUCGGAGAAAGUGUUUAUAGCCUUUGGCCUCUGCAAUCGGAGAGAUUGAGGUCUGCAGCGUAGAUCCUUCGGGGUUAGAUACAUUUGUGCUAAGUUAUAGCCUUUCAUAGACAACUUGUUGACUAUGAUCAGUCAUGUAGCUUACUCGCUUAUGCUAUUUUACCUACGCUUAGGAUGUUGAGUCGUAGAGCACGCAG
Molecule: ribosomal RNA, 774 nt
Filed under: uncultured Neocallimastigales
Lineage: Eukaryota; Fungi; Neocallimastigomycota; Neocallimastigomycetes; Neocallimastigales
Description: partial large subunit ribosomal RNA
Rfam family: Eukaryotic large subunit ribosomal RNA
Source: RNAcentral